This 401-nucleotide long non-coding RNA is filed under the name Brassica napus (rape). RNAcentral's name for it is "long non-coding RNA (BNAP_LNC007638)". The record is from RNAcentral. Lineage: Eukaryota; Viridiplantae; Streptophyta; Magnoliopsida; Brassicales; Brassicaceae.
AUGGUCGAAAAAUACUUUUCUUCUGCGGAGAAGCUUCCGAAGCGAUUCAAGUUUGAAAACGUUAUUAGACAAGAUAAAGAGCAUUAUGAAGAUAAGAUAUAACUUCUUAACAUUUGUGUUGUCCUUGUUAGUUGUUUUUAUUGAGACAAUUUGUAAUGAAUUACAUUUCUUUUAUAGGUGUGUGUUAGGCAUUUUCUUAAACAAACAAGUGGAGAGUUAACACUAAAGUGGAGUGAUGAAAUUGAUGAUAACGGUGUAAGAGAGGAUUAGUUCAUGACAUCCGUCAUGAUUGUGUAAAUAGAGGAUUUUGGGAUGUUAUUGAUGAACCUCCCAGCUACAACAAGGAUGAAGCGUCCUAAAUCUUACCCCGAAGCAGAUGCUGAGAGUUCUAAAAAGAACAA